CAAUGUUCUCUUCACGAUCUUCUUCAGCAGAAAUUGAGACAGACUCGCCUUCUUCUUCCACGUUUUCUGUCACAUCAAGUGUUUGCUGAGGUAGGUUAUCAGUUUCCUUGUCCUCUUCAUCCUGGCAUAAAGUCAUAGCAGCAAAAUGAGGCAAUUCAACCAUUUAGACAUAGCACAAGACACUAGGGCUUGUUCCCGUUUGCUUUAGAUUGUGCAAAAGCUGAUUAUGAAAAGUCAUCAUAGAGAAUGAUCAGAAUCACUGAGAACUACUCUUUACUAGGUUUUGGAUUUUGCCUUUUUUGGCUAAUAAAAAUCUACAAUUAAAAGACAAAAGCAAAUGAGAAAUUUAGAAAAAAAAAACGCAUCAUCCAUAACCAGCUAAAAUAAUCUAACAAGAACAAGCCCUUAAAAGCUCGAAAGGCAACAACCAUAGUAACCAUGAAGCAGGUGAAGCAUUUCUUUAAAGUUCAAGUCCCUCAGCUGAUAUCACUACUUACAGCUGAAGCAUUUCUUAAAUGUUGGAAAACAAGAAGCAGCAGCACCAUGGCAAUAACAAGAUCAGGACAAGUGAUAGUGACUGAUAGUGAAAGCCUACCUCUAAUUGUAUAGAACUUUCAGCUUUUAUAACUUGAUUAGCCUUUUGAUCCUCCAGGAAGGACUGGGAAACCUCUCUUUUCUCAUCCUCGCCAUACAACAACUGGCACAAAAACAAAGCAGAGAAUAAAUAUACGAGAAGCAUUCUUCCAAAAGGAUCCCAUAAAUGUUCAAACAGGCGUAACUUUGCGACAGCUUCUACAACCCAAUUUCCAUCUACAACAAAAGGAG
RNAcentral lists this long non-coding RNA (825 nucleotides) under Coffea arabica (coffee). RNAcentral's name for it is "long non-coding RNA (CARA_LNC008282)". Lineage: Eukaryota; Viridiplantae; Streptophyta; Magnoliopsida; Gentianales; Rubiaceae. The record is from RNAcentral.